ACUGCUCAGUAACACGUGGACAACCUACCCUGAAGAGGGGGAUAACCCCGGGAAACUGGGGAUAAUACCCCAUAGACUAUGGAUGCUGGAAUGCUCUGUAGUUCAAAGGUCCGCCGCUUCAGGAUGGGUCUGCGGCCGAUUAGGUUGUUGUUGGGGUAACGGCCCAACAAGCCUGUAAUCGGUACGGGUUGUGGGAGCAAGAGCCCGGAGAUGGAUUCUGAGACACGAAUCCAGGCCCUACGGGGCGCAGCAGGCGCGAAAACUUUGCAAUGCGAGAAAUCGUGACAAGGGAACUCCGAGUGCCUGUAAAAUCAGGCUGUCCGCCAGUGUAAACAACUGGUGAAGAAAGGGCCGGGCAAGACCGGUGCCAGCCGCCGCGGUAAUACCGGCGGCUCGAGUGGUGGCCACUAUUACUGGGCUUAAAGCGUUCGUAGCUGGCUUGUUAAGUCUCUGGGGAAAUCUUCCGGCUUAACCGGAAGGCGUCUCAGGGAUACUGGCAGGCUAGGGACCGGAAGAGGUGAGAGGUACUCCAGGGGUAGGAGUGAAAUCCUGUAAUCCUUGGGGGACCACCUGUGGCGAAGGCGUCUCACCAGGACGGCUCCGACAGUGAGGAACGAAAGCUGGGGGAGCAAACCGGAUUAGAUACCCGGGUAGUCCCAGCUGUAAACGAUGCGCGUUAGGUGUAUCGGUGACCACGAGUCACCGAGGUGCCGAAGAGAAAUCGUGAAACGCGCCGCCUGGGAAGUACGGUCGCAAGGCUGAAACUUAAAGGAAUUGGCGGGGGAGCAC
RNAcentral lists this ribosomal RNA (789 nucleotides) under uncultured archaeon. RNAcentral's name for it is "bacterial SSU rRNA". It matches the Rfam family "Archaeal small subunit ribosomal RNA", at positions 85 to 879 of the family's 1478-position model. The record is from RNAcentral.